UACGUAGGGUCCGAGCGUUGUCCGGAAUUAUUGGGCGUAAAGAGCUCGUAGGCGGUUUGUCACGUCGGCCGUGAAAACUCGGGGCUCAACCCCGAGCCUGCGGUCGAUACGGGCAGACUAGAGUGCUGUAGGGGAGACUGGAAUUCCUGGUGUAGCGGUGAAAUGCGCAGAUAUCAGGAGGAACACCGGUGGCGAAGGCGGGUCUCUGGGCAGUAACUGACGCUGAGGAGCGAAAGCGUGGGGAGCGAACAGG
RNAcentral lists this ribosomal RNA (253 nucleotides) under uncultured bacterium. RNAcentral describes it as "partial 16S ribosomal RNA". It matches the Rfam family "Bacterial small subunit ribosomal RNA", at positions 524 to 776 of the family's 1533-position model. The record is from RNAcentral.